This 122-nucleotide microRNA precursor is filed under the name Populus trichocarpa (black cottonwood). RNAcentral describes it as "MIR480 microRNA precursor family". It matches the Rfam family "MIR480 microRNA precursor family". The record is from Rfam by way of RNAcentral. Lineage: Eukaryota; Viridiplantae; Streptophyta; Magnoliopsida; Malpighiales; Salicaceae.
UAAUUUUUUGGUGGCAGAUUCUUAUCUAACUGUGACAGAUCUUGACUCGAAUACUUAAAAUUCUUACUUUCUACUAACCUGACUAUAUCAGAAUUACAUCUUCAUGGGAGGAUUUCAACAAC